AGAGUUUGAUCCUGGCUCAGGAUGAACGCUGGCGGCGUGCCUAAUACAUGCAAGUCGAGCGAACAGAUAAGGAGCUUGCUCCUUUGACGUUAGCGGCGGACGGGUGAGUAACACGUGGGUAACCUACCUAUAAGACUGGAAUAACUCCGGGAAACCGGGGCUAAUGCCGGAUAAUAUUUAGAACCGCAUGGUUCUAAAGUGAAAGAUGGUUUUGCUAUCACUUAUAGAUGGACCCGCGCCGUAUUAGCUAGUUGGUGGGGUAAUGGCUUACCAAGGCAACGAUACGUAGCCGACCUGAGAGGGUGAUCGGCCACACUGGAACUGAGACACGGUCCAGACUCCUACGGGAGGCAGCAGUAGGGAAUCUUCCGCAAUGGGCGAAAGCCUGACGGAGCAACGCCGCGUGAGUGAUGAAGGUCUUUGGAUCGUAAAACUCUGUUAUUAGGGAAGAACAAAUGUGUAAGUAACUGUGCACGUCUUGACGGUACCUAAUCAGAAAGCCACGGCUAACUACGUG
RNAcentral lists this ribosomal RNA (517 nucleotides) under uncultured Staphylococcus sp. Its description in RNAcentral is "bacterial SSU rRNA". It matches the Rfam family "Bacterial small subunit ribosomal RNA", at positions 8 to 507 of the family's 1533-position model. Lineage: Bacteria; Bacillati; Bacillota; Bacilli; Caryophanales; Staphylococcaceae. The record is from RNAcentral.